This 287-nucleotide long non-coding RNA is filed under the name Elaeis guineensis (African oil palm). RNAcentral's name for it is "long non-coding RNA (EGUI_LNC002214)". The record is from RNAcentral. Lineage: Eukaryota; Viridiplantae; Streptophyta; Magnoliopsida; Arecales; Arecaceae.
CUCUAAUUAACCAUACCUCCUUUCCUUCUUUUACUAUGGAAAUCAUAAUAAAAUCAAAAAAUUUGGACAGCAUAAGGAGUAGAUGGCUGGUGGUUGCUUAAAGCCUAUCCAAAGGAGGAGAGAUUCUAUACCAAAUAGAAAGAAUGAUAUAUAGAAUAAAAUCAUGAGAAAAAUAUCACCUUAACCCUAGCCCUAGCCCUAUUUAAGGAUCCUAAAACACAAGCAAGAGAGGGAGGAGAAUCAUCUUUGAAAGCUAGAAAUCAAGCAAGGAGAGUUUGGAGUAUCUG